UACGGGAGGCAGCAGUGGGGAAUAUUGCACAAUGGGCGCAAGCCUGAUGCAGCCAUGCCGCGUGUAUGAAGAAGGCCUUCGGGUUGUAAAGUACUUUCAGUCGUGAGGAAGGUGUUAAGGUUAAUAACCUUAGCAAUUGACGUUAGCGACAGAAGAAGCACCGGCUAACUCCGUGCCAGCAGCCGCGGUAAUACGGAGGGUGCGAGCGUUAAUCGGAAUUACUGGGCGUUAAAGGGCACGCAGGCGGUUAAUUAAGUUGGAUGUGAAAUCCCCGGGCUUAACCUGGGAAUGGCAUUCAAGACUGGUUAGCUAGAGUCUUGUAGAGGGGGUAGAAUUCCAUGUGUAGCGGUGAAAUGCGUAGAGAUGUGGAGGAAUACCGGGUGGCGAAGGCGGCCCCUGGGACAAGGACUGACGCUCAUGUGCGAAAGCGUGGGGAGCAAACAGGAUUAGAUACC
This 455-nucleotide ribosomal RNA is filed under the name uncultured bacterium. Its description in RNAcentral is "bacterial SSU rRNA". It matches the Rfam family "Bacterial small subunit ribosomal RNA", at positions 340 to 786 of the family's 1533-position model. The record is from RNAcentral.